This 253-nucleotide ribosomal RNA is filed under the name uncultured bacterium. RNAcentral describes it as "partial 16S ribosomal RNA". It matches the Rfam family "Bacterial small subunit ribosomal RNA", at positions 524 to 776 of the family's 1533-position model. The record is from RNAcentral.
UACGGAGGGGGCUAGCGUUGUUCGGAAUUACUGGGCGUAAAGCGCACGUAGGCGGAUUGGAAAGUUGGGGGUGAAAUCCCAGGGCUCAACCCUGGAACUGCCUCCAAAACUCCCAGUCUGGAGGUCGAGAGAGGCGAGUGGAAUUCCGAGUGUAGAGGUGAAAUUCGUAGAUAUUCGGAGGAACACCAGUGGCGAAGGCGGCUCGCUGGCUCGAUACUGACGCUGAGGUGCGAAAGCGUGGGGAGCAAACAGG